CAAAACGAAGCGAUAAAGGAUCAUCAGAUGAUGGAGGAAGGGAAACAACUUGAUUUGAAAGGAGUAAGUGGAAGAAGGAGGAAGAGUGGGUACUGCUGUGGGCAAUGGAAUAUGCAAAAAUAAAAUACACCAACAGCCAGAGAGAAAGAUGUGGAGAAUGGCAGAGAAUAUUCCACCACCACUGUCCAAGUAAAAAAGACAUCCCAAGAAAGCAACUCACCACCCAAAGACACAACUUUAUCACACAAAAACACUUCUCGGAUGCGGAAAUACAAGUGAUGCAACACAAGGUUGGACAAAUGGUCAGAGACGGCAUCUGCCCUCUAACACAACCCAUUGGACCACCAAGAAAUGACUGUCCUCAGAAAACAUACAGCCAACAAAAAACACCAGACCAAGCCAGCCUCUCACACCAAAGAAAGUAGGAGUUAAACACAGUCCCAACACAAUAGGAGUCAAACACCUAACCAACAAAAAAAGGACUCAAGGCACUGCCCCCCCCCCCCAAAAAAAAAACCGAGUCAUUCACUGCGCCCCCAAAAAACGAGUCAUUCACCAGCUCAUCCACAAAACAAUAUACAGGUGCACCCAGACCCAGAACAGCGGGAAUUAGAAGAGGAACUGGCAAAUAAGAUUGAGGAAACAAGAAAAAUAGACAUGAAAGAGCGUCCAAAAUUGACUAAAUUAAAGGAGAACAAACAUUUCAAAACUAUCCUACAAAAAGUUAACCUGGGACUGGCUAAACUGGUCCCAGAAGGAACCACAUUGACAGAUUUAAACAGUGUACAUUAUGGAGCUGCAUGGUACAUACAAAGUAAAUUAGCCCCACAAGAUUUGGAGAGAAAAGGAACCACUAUUAC
Molecule: long non-coding RNA, 860 nt
Organism: Thalassophryne amazonica
Lineage: Eukaryota; Metazoa; Chordata; Actinopteri; Batrachoidiformes; Batrachoididae
Exons: 2
Source: RefSeq, a predicted model, not a curated record